UAGUCCACGCCGUAAACGAUGAUUACUCGAUGUUGGCAAUACACCGUCAGCGUCCAAGCGAAAGCGCUAAGUACUCCGCCUGGGGAGUACGCACGCAAGUGUGAAACUCAAAGGAAUUGACGGGGACCCGCACAAGCAGCGGAGCAUGUGGUUUAAUUCGAAGCAACGCGAAGAACCUUACCAAAUCUUGACAUCCUGAUGACCGGAUCUUAAUCGAUCCUUUUCUUCGGAACAUCAGAGACAGGUGGUGCAUGGUUGUCGUCAGCUCGUGUCGUGAGAUGUUGGGUUAAGUCCCGCAACGAGCGCAACCCUUGUCUUUAGUUGCCAUCAGGUCAAGCUGGGCACUCUAGAGAGACUGCCGUGGAUAACACGGAGGAAGGUGGGGAUGACGUCAAAUCAUCAUGCCCCUUAUGGUUUGGGCUACACACGUGCUACAAUGGUCGGUACAACGGGCAGCGAAAGAGUGAUCUGGAGCGAAUCCUAAAAAGCCGAUCU
This 495-nucleotide ribosomal RNA is filed under the name uncultured bacterium. RNAcentral describes it as "bacterial SSU rRNA". It matches the Rfam family "Bacterial small subunit ribosomal RNA", at positions 791 to 1288 of the family's 1533-position model. The record is from RNAcentral.